RNAcentral lists this ribosomal RNA (36 nucleotides) under Tuber fulgens. RNAcentral's name for it is "partial 28S ribosomal RNA". Lineage: Eukaryota; Fungi; Ascomycota; Pezizomycetes; Pezizales; Tuberaceae. The record is from RNAcentral.
AUACCAGGUAGGCAUACCCGCUGAACUUAAGCAUAU